GAUGAACGCUGGCGGCGUGCCUAAUACAUGCAAGUCGAGCGAACAGACGAGGAGCUUUCUCCUCUGACUUUAGCGGCGGACGGGUGAGUAAUACGUGGAUAACCUACCUAUAAGACUGGGAUAACUUCGGGAUACCGGAGUUAAUACCGGAUAAUAUAUUGAACCGCAUGGUUCAAUAGUCAAAGACGGUUUUGCUGUCACUUAUAGAUGGAUCCGCGCCGCAUUAGCUAGUUGGUAAGGUAACGGCUUACCAAGGCAACGAUGCGUAGCCGACCUGAGAGGGUGAUCGGCCACACUGGAACUGAGACACGGUCCAGACUCCUACGGGAGGCAGCAGUAGGGAAGCUUCCGCAAUGGGCGAAAGCCUGACGAAGCAACGCCGCGUGAGUGAUGAAGGUCUUCGGAUCGUAAAACUCUUUUAUUAGGGAAGAACAAAUGUGUAAGUAACUAUGCACGUCUUGACGGUACCUAAACAGAAAGCCACGGCUAACUACGUG
Molecule: ribosomal RNA, 497 nt
Filed under: uncultured bacterium
Lineage: Bacteria
Description: partial 16S ribosomal RNA
Rfam family: Bacterial small subunit ribosomal RNA
Source: RNAcentral